AUGCAUUUUCACUGUCAUGUUCGUCUGCUGACCAUCUCCUUCCUGACACGGAGAAAGGGGAUGAUGGCCUGGAUCUCUCAGGGCUUGGAGAAGGUCGUUCCUCAGCCUGAGCUGAAGAGCAAAGAGCCCACAGCAGCGGAGCAGCCUCAGGUACGUCCACCUGAAGCUCCUCCCUCCAACUGUCACCUGAGAACAACCAGGGAGACCUGGUGGUACUGUCCAAUUUGGGGUCUAAACCAACUGAUGUGGUUCUCCCCCUGAGGGGGUCAAAUGUGGAGAAGGCGCUCCACCUCACUGGCCUUAGAACCCGUCAUCCCGGUCCGCCUGUCGGUUCGGCGUUUACCAGCUGGGCUAACUGGUUCUGAUUCAUUUCUGCGCUUCAGGCAGAAGAACCAGAAUUUCCAGACCAGUCACCCAUUGGAUUCAUAUUUGGGGUGACAGCUCUAUUCAGGCCAAACUCCAGGGCUCUUAUCGCAACUGGGUGGUUUUUGAAAAUAUUUCCAGUGAAAUGGUGGUGUUGAAUCUUUCCCGCCAUGACUCUUUUUCCUUUCCGACCGUGGUCAGAAGCGUGGGGGCCGAAGGCGGCUCCUCCUUCAGGGUUCACUUCCCCGUUCGGACCCUCAGAUUCUCCAGAGCGGGUUAAUUAAGAGACAAUAGCAUUUCUUCUGGGGGAAACCUUCUUUUAUUACCGUUCUCCUUCCUCCUUAACACACAACAUGAAUGCGCGCCCCCAUUGCCCCCCCUCAUUCCCUCCUGCGCUCUCUCCUCUCUCUUACACACACACACGCGCGGCCCCAGCACACACACAUCCCCAUUCCACAGCAGUGGGGACAGAUGAUCCUGGCUCCAAUGCCUUCUUAAAAUGAGAAGAUUGUAAUUGUGCUGCUCCUUUGUGAAAAUAAAUGUAAUAAUGCAAAAAGAGCUCCGCUGUUAUUGAAAUCCAUGUUAACGUUAGCUACUACCGCAAACAACAAGUGACGUCGUUCAACAUUGAGUACUCUUCUGCGCAUGCGGGUCACUUCUGGGUCACACGGUCCCACAGGAGAUCACAAAAGUUCACAUUUAAUUGGAAAUGUGAACGGCCUUGCAAAAAAAUCAAUUUUUUUCAAUAAAUCUGAGUUGAGCAUUAAGCCCUGCAGUUUAACUUAGCCUAAAUGUGCUGGGAGGGAUUUCUGUGUCAGUCUCUAAUGUUCAUCUGACUAAAAGGGGGCGGAGUCAAGGAUUUUUUUGCGCUGCCAUUUUAUUGGUUGUUGGUUGUUUUUAAUGAUGUUUUUAUUACAAACUGUUAGAAUAACAUGGGGGGGGGGGGAUAUGGGCGUGCUGAGAGUUCGGGGUGUCAUAUCCAUCCAAGCCCCUAAAAUACCAUCAUUAUAUCAGUUCACCUGUCCAGGUUUUUGUGUCUCAUAGUUUUAGGAUGAAUGCUCUUCCUGACUCUACCUGCUGCAUUUACCGGGCUUUGGACAGGUACAAUCAGAACACUGGUUUGUGCCCUGUUGAGGCUACAUUCAUCUUUUUUCUAUGUCUGUCUGCCCGUCCAUCCUUACAUUUUUUAUUUUAGUUUUUUGUGGUUUUACUGUAAGUUUAACUCCAUCCUGCCAUGAUAUUUUAUUGACUAAAACCUGAAUUAUAAUCUGAUUUAUUUUGCUGACGAUACAACAAAAGGAACCAAAAAAAGCCUGACGAGGUGACGAUCUGUUCAAAGAUGAGUUUGUACCGACUUUCCCUUAACGUGUUUGUUUGUCCUCAGGUGCGUCAGACAGCGCCUCCUGCAGGUGAGCUCAGAUGAGACUCGAGCUUCAGAAACUGCUCACCUGGUCAAAGGUGAAUUUCCUCUCCUGGUUUCUGUUUUUCACCUGCAGAAUCUCAGGUCACAGCGAAGGAGGCGGAGAGCGACCAAAGUGAGAAGUUAGGCCCGCCCAGGUGAGGGUUUGGUUUGUCAUGAGUUCUUCAGACAUGAGCGGCACAGAGAGGCUGUGAUGUUAUGAAGCAGACAAUCCGUUUGCUCUCCUGUGAUUGGAUGAUGCUGGCUGUUGGUUUGUAGGAUGAUGGAGUGGAUCAAACAUGGAAUCGAGAAGGUGGUUCCUCAUCCGGAGAGUCACUCCACCAACGAGAAGACUGAAGCUAAAGGUGCUUCUACUUCGCUGUUGAGAGUCACUGAUGAUGAUGAUGAUGAUGAUGACCUUCAAUUCCACUCGUGGUGUCUUUUGUUUGUUUCAGUGAUCAAAGUUCUGGCUUCGGCUCCAAAACCUCCCUCAGAGACAGAGUGAGUGACGUAUUCAGUGAUCUGUUGUUCAUUUGUCAUCGAUGAAGCAAAAAAACUCAAAACCACCAAAGUUCUGCUCAACGUCCAGAAUUUCUCUGCAGGUUUCUUUCAGACAAACAAACGUAGUUUUUUGACGUAGACGUGCUUAACUGGUCAGCUGCAGGCGUCUUCAGGAGGGUCACAUGAGCAUUUAGAUGUGUUGUUGUUGGUUCUUCUCCAGAACCAUGGUCAGGAACAACAACAUGGUCAGGAAGACCCGGAAGCGAGUCGGUUCAGAAUGAAGGCUAACGCUUCUUAAAGCUGUCUAUCCGUCCAGAUCUGGUCCAGAUUCCAGCUCAGACCAGGAAAACAAAGACGUUCAUGGAUCUGUUGGUCUGACAGUGGAGGAUCAGAAUGGGGCGGAGCAGGACGCCUGUGGCCCACAGAGUCUAGCUUUUUUAAACGACACUCUUUUGUCUGCUCCUGAUUUACAACAAUCUGAAUGAAGACAUCCUCGGAAAUAUAUUUUAAGCCUAAUUUUCUUUAAAUAUGUCAUCCAUCAUCAGACAAAUGCUACAAGAACAUGUUAAAAACACCACUAAACACAUUUUUCAUGGGAGUGGUUUUAAAUAGUUCAAUAAUCUUCAUAGUGUCUGUAUUAUUAACUAACUUCUUCUGUUCUUUUUCACGUACCUGACAUGUUUUGGCGGACGUCUUCCGUCUUUAAAACAUGUCAGGUAUGUUGAAACACAACCGUGUCUGAUAACAGAAGAUGUCAGUGGUCUUUAUAGUCCAACUGACCCGGAGAACAGAAUCCUGUAAGAAUGUGACCUGGAUAAAGGAGAACCUUCACUGGAGGAUGAUGCAGUAAAAUUUCUUCAAGGAUUACAACUUUUUCAAGUAAAUGUAGAUUAUUUAUGUCCAUAUCUGUAUUUUGGCCUUUUGCUAACUACAGUAAUAAACAACUGACCAAGAAACCUGAGGGUCUUCAGAGUCGCCAGCGUUCAUCUGAACCUGUUCCACAUCCUUGUGGGUGAAAGUUCUUGAGUAGAGGAUGCAGAGAACCGCAGGCCCAGCUUAGUGGUUCUGAGGUUUGAGGAGCCCAAAAGGAGGAAACUAGGAUGUAGAAACAAAGAACAGAAGGACGCUUCCAGCUGUGUCGCUCGUCUGAAAGGAUUGUUCUCUUCUCCUCUCAGGCUCACCAAUGAAGCAGAGCAGCAGCCAAAGUAGGUGGAACUGUUCCUGUCUCAUGAAGUAAAUGCAGCUCCAGAAGCUUCACUGACAGCAUGGUUGGGUCUGCUGAGCGUCCGGUCAGGGAUUCAAACCCCUGGCCGGACACUCGUCGUGACUUGAGGCUUAACGCUUUACUUUAUGUUGGUCUGAUGGUGGAGGCCCUCUUGGUGGAGGAGAGGACGGCCAUUGGGCGGAUGGUUAGACGGGGCGGGGCCAUUCUCCACCUUCAGCUGUUUCUGUUUGCAGAUUUUUAGGAUAUUGAUU
RNAcentral lists this long non-coding RNA (3739 nucleotides) under Oryzias sinensis (Chinese medaka). Its description in RNAcentral is "lncRNA (ENSOSIG00000006602.1)". Lineage: Eukaryota; Metazoa; Chordata; Actinopteri; Beloniformes; Adrianichthyidae. The record is from RNAcentral.